CUACCUUCUUAACAUUCUAUAUGUGUACUUCACACUACUCUCAUAAUUAUACCUACAACCAUCUCUUACAAUUCUAAUCACUCAUAACUUUAUUUGAGUGGUCCGUUGUUACACACACCUACAAUAAAGCACACAAUGUUAGUUAAAACACACAAUAUUAGUUAAAACACACAAGAUGGUCUUAAUAUGCACAAGAUCUCUUGAAAACCAAUCUGAAUCCUCUACUGCCUUUGAUGAUCACAAUGCACAUUUGCAACAGUUGAAUGAUCAAAUCCAUGAAUGAGAGCAGCAAUUAGCUAUUCUGCAUGCACAACAGCAGCUCAACAAGUUGGAAGUGCAGAUUCAUGAAGAUACUCUCAUCAAGUCUCAAUUAACUCAGAAUAUCACCACAGAACCACCACAAAAUCAAUCUGCAAACAAUACAGAUGAUGAUAAUGAAACAUCAUCAAGAUUGAAGAUUAAGAACUAUUAUUGAGGAAAAAAUAUGUUAGAAUUCAAGAACUAUAAAGAUCACAUAUUGACUUUCUUUACACAUCACCAUCAGUAUUAUCAAAAAAAAGAACACA
This 566-nucleotide small RNA is filed under the name Histoplasma ohiense. RNAcentral describes it as "hypothetical lncRNA". The record is from RNAcentral. Lineage: Eukaryota; Fungi; Ascomycota; Eurotiomycetes; Onygenales; Ajellomycetaceae.